RNAcentral lists this ribosomal RNA (123 nucleotides) under Prolemur simus (greater bamboo lemur). The record is from RNAcentral. Lineage: Eukaryota; Metazoa; Chordata; Mammalia; Primates; Lemuridae.
UAGCCUACAGCUACCACCCUGAAGGCAUCUGAUCUCAUAUGAUCUUGAAAGCUAAGCAGGGUCGAGACUGGUUAGUACUUGGAUGGGAGAAAGGGCUAAAGAAUUUCUAGUUAUUUAGCCUGG